RNAcentral lists this transfer RNA (77 nucleotides) under Alphaproteobacteria bacterium. Its description in RNAcentral is "tRNA-Asn". It matches the Rfam family "tRNA". Rfam says of the family: Transfer RNA (tRNA) molecules are approximately 80 nucleotides in length. Their secondary structure includes four short double-helical elements and three loops (D, anti-codon, and T loops). Further hydrogen bonds mediate the characteristic L-shaped molecular structure. tRNAs have two regions of fundamental functional importance: the anti-codon, which is responsible for specific mRNA codon recognition, and the 3' end, to which the tRNAs corresponding amino acid is attached (by aminoacyl-tRNA synthetases). tRNAs cope with the degeneracy of the genetic code in two manners: having more than one tRNA (with a specific anti-codon) for a particular amino acid; and 'wobble' base-pairing, i.e. permitting non-standard base-pairing at the 3rd anti-codon position. Lineage: Bacteria; Pseudomonadati; Pseudomonadota; Alphaproteobacteria. The record is from RNAcentral.
UCCCGCUUAGCUCAGUUGGUCAGAGCAUCUGACUGUUAAUCAGAGGGUCGCUGGUUCAAGUCCAGCAGCGGGAGCCA